GCCCUCGUCGCUCGAUGGUCGAGCGCCCUGCUUCGUAUCCAGGGUCUCCCGGUUCGAUUCCGGGCGAGGGCU
This 72-nucleotide transfer RNA is filed under the name Polyangium sorediatum. Its description in RNAcentral is "tRNA-Thr". It matches the Rfam family "tRNA". From Rfam's summary of the family: Transfer RNA (tRNA) molecules are approximately 80 nucleotides in length. Their secondary structure includes four short double-helical elements and three loops (D, anti-codon, and T loops). The record is from RNAcentral. Lineage: Bacteria; Pseudomonadati; Myxococcota; Polyangiales; Polyangiaceae.